UACGAAGGGGGCUAGCGUUGCUCGGAAUCACUGGGCGUAAAGGGUGCGUAGGCGGGUCUUUUAAGUCAGGGGUGAAAUCCUGGAGCUCAACUCCAGAACUGCCUUUGAUACUGAAGAUCUUGAGUUCGGGAGAGGUGAGUGGAACUGCGAGUGUAGAGGUGAAAUUCGCAGAUAUCAGGAGGAACACCGAUGGCGAAGGCAGCUCGCUGGGACGGUACUGACGCUGAGGCGCGAAAAGCGUGGGGAGCAAACAGGG
RNAcentral lists this ribosomal RNA (256 nucleotides) under uncultured bacterium. RNAcentral describes it as "partial 16S ribosomal RNA". It matches the Rfam family "Bacterial small subunit ribosomal RNA", at positions 524 to 777 of the family's 1533-position model. The record is from RNAcentral.